CGGAGGGUGAACAAGAAAGGGAAUCUCAAGUGCUGAAGGUCUAGCAGUUUCUUGUUUUCUGCCUCCUCAGCCCCUGAGUGCGCCAAUCACGCCACUGUUUCACCUACAGCAUUAAAUGCGAUUUCUCCAGUUCGCUCUUGUCUAAGGCACUGCCCGUCCUCUCCACCUCAUCCUCGGACUUAACCGUCUGCUCGGCUUCCUUCAUGGCAGCUUCUGAGGGAGACUCAAACACCUCAUCUGGGUAACUGGACAUGUCCUCGUGCAACGCACCCUCCUGCCGAUAAAAUCACACAAAAUGUUGCAUAACUGUAAGGGAAAAUAACCUGUUAUCCUGGGUUUUGUAGUUUGCAAAAUAAAAAUGUAAAAAAAAGCCAAAUAA
Long non-coding RNA from Bombina bombina (fire-bellied toad), 379 nucleotides. RefSeq lists it as uncharacterized. The record is from RefSeq and is a predicted model, not a curated record. The transcript has 2 exons. NCBI's taxonomy places the organism in Eukaryota, Metazoa, Chordata, Amphibia, Anura, Bombinatoridae.